UACGAAGGGGGCUAGCGUUGUUCGGAAUCACUGGGCGUAAAGCGUACGUAGGCGGAUUGUUAAGUCAGGGGUGAAAGCCCGAGGCUCAACCUCGGAAUUGCCUUUGAUACUGGCUGUCUUGAGUCCGGGAGAGGUGAGUGGAACUGCGAGUGUAGAGGUGAAAUUCGUAGAUAUUCGCAAGAACACCAGUGGCGAAGGCGGCUCACUGGCCCGAUACUGACGCUGAGGCACGAAAGCGUGGGGAGCAAACAGG
Molecule: ribosomal RNA, 253 nt
Filed under: uncultured bacterium
Lineage: Bacteria
Description: partial 16S ribosomal RNA
Rfam family: Bacterial small subunit ribosomal RNA
Source: RNAcentral